RNAcentral lists this ribosomal RNA (101 nucleotides) under Citrobacter freundii. Its description in RNAcentral is "partial 23S ribosomal RNA". It matches the Rfam family "Bacterial large subunit ribosomal RNA", at positions 1 to 101 of the family's 2925-position model. Lineage: Bacteria; Pseudomonadati; Pseudomonadota; Gammaproteobacteria; Enterobacterales; Enterobacteriaceae. RNAcentral also lists the same sequence under 8 other names. The record is from RNAcentral.
GGUUAAGCGACUAAGCGUACACGGUGGAUGCCCUGGCAGUCAGAGGCGAUGAAGGACGUGCUAAUCUGCGAUAAGCGUCGGUAAGGUGAUAUGAACCGUUA